UACGGAGGAUGCGAGCGUUAUCCGGAUUUAUUGGGUUUAAAGGGUGCGUAGGCGGACGCUUAAGUCAGCGGUAAAAUUGCGGGGCUCAACCUCGUCGAGCCGUUGAAACUGGGUGCCUUGAGUGGGCGAGAAGUACGCGGAAUGCGUGGUGUAGCGGUGAAAUGCAUAGAUAUCACGCAGAACUCCGAUUGCGAUGGCAGCGUACCGGCGCCCAACUGACGCUGAAGCACGAAGGCGUGGGUAUCGAACAGG
This 252-nucleotide ribosomal RNA is filed under the name uncultured bacterium. RNAcentral describes it as "partial 16S ribosomal RNA". It matches the Rfam family "Bacterial small subunit ribosomal RNA", at positions 524 to 776 of the family's 1533-position model. The record is from RNAcentral.